Molecule: ribosomal RNA, 227 nt
Filed under: uncultured bacterium
Lineage: Bacteria
Description: partial 16S ribosomal RNA
Rfam family: Bacterial small subunit ribosomal RNA
Source: RNAcentral
GAUCAGGGCUCAGGACGAACGCUGGCGGCGUGCUUAACACAUGCAAGUCGAACGAGAAUCUGUGGAUCGAGGAUUCGUCCAAGUGAAGCAGAGGACAGUGGCGGACGGGUGAGUAACGCGUGAGGAACCUGCCUUUCAGAGGGGGACAACAGUUGGAAACGACUGCUAAUACCGCAUGAUACAUUUGGGUGGCAUCAUCUGAAUGUCAAAGAUUUAUCGCUGAAAGA